This is a long non-coding RNA of Gavialis gangeticus (Gharial), 99 nucleotides long. RefSeq lists it as uncharacterized. The transcript has 3 exons. The record is from RefSeq and is a predicted model, not a curated record. Lineage: Eukaryota; Metazoa; Chordata; Crocodylia; Gavialidae.
AAGAAAGAGAAGUUUGGUCUGUAUAACUGGUUCAGCAUUCAAAUCAAUGUUAUAAAACAGUCAUUUGUAUUGGUAUAAGCUAGUAUAGUCACUCAUAUU